This 460-nucleotide ribosomal RNA is filed under the name uncultured bacterium. Its description in RNAcentral is "partial 16S ribosomal RNA". It matches the Rfam family "Bacterial small subunit ribosomal RNA", at positions 338 to 795 of the family's 1533-position model. The record is from RNAcentral.
CCUACGGGAGGCAGCAGUGAGGAAUAUUGGUCAAUGGGCGCGAGCCUGAACCAGCCAAGUAGCGUGAAGGAUGAAUGCCCUACGGGUUGUAAACUUCUUUUAUAAAGGAAUAAAGUGAGGCACGUGUGCCUUUUUGUCUGUACUUUAUGAAUAAGGAACGGCUAACUCAGUGCCAGCAGCAGCGGUAAUACGGAGGAUCCGAGAGUUAUCAGGAUUUAUUGGGGUUAAAGGGAGCGUAGAUGGGUUGUUAAGUCAGUUUUGAAAGUUUGCGGCUAAACCGUAAAAUUGCAAUUGAUACUGGCAGUCUUGAGUACAGUUGAGGUAGGCGGAAUUCGUGGUGUAGCGUUGAAAUGCUUAGAUAUCACGAAGAACUCCGAUUGCGAAGGCAGCUUACUAAACUGCCACUGCCAUUGAUGCUCGAAAGUGUGGGUAUCAAACAGGAGUAGAUACCCCAGUAGUC